AGGGAUCAUUAUAGAGUUUUCUAAACUCCCAACCCAUGUGAACUUACCUUUUGUUGCCUCGGCAGAAGUUAUAGGUCUUCUUAUAGCUGCUGCCGGUGGACCAUUAAACUCUUGUUAUUUUAUGUAAUCUGAGCGUCUUAUUUUAAUAAGUCAAAACUUUCAACAACGGAUCUCUUGGUUCUGGCAUCGAUGAAGAACGCAGCGAAAUGCGAUAAGUAAUGUGAAUUGCAGAAUUCAGUGAAUCAUCGAAUCUUUGAACGCACAUUGCGCCCAUUAGUAUUCUAGUGGGCAUGCCUGUUCGAGCGUCAUUUCAACCCUUAAGCCUAGCUUAGUGUUGGGAAUCUACUUCUCUUAGGAGUUGUAGUUCCUGAAAUACAACGGCGGAUUUGUAGUAUCCUCUGAGCGUAGUAAUUUUUUUCUCGCUUUUGUUAGGUGCUAUAACUCCCAGCCGCUAAACCCCCAAUUUUUUGUGGUUGACCUCGGAUCAGGUAGGAAUACCCGCUGAACUUAAGCAUAUCAAUAAGCGGAGGAAAAGAAACCAACAGGGAUUGCCUUAGUAACGGCGAGUGAAGCGGCAACAGCUCAAAUUUGAAAUCUGGCCCUUGGGUCCGAAUUGUAAUUUGUAGAGGAUGAUUUUGGUGCGGUAUCUUCCGAGUUCCUUGGAACAGGACGCCUUARAGGGUGAGAGCCCCCGUACGGUUGAAUGCCUAGCCUCUGUAAAUCUCCUUCGACGAGUCGAGUAGUUUGGGAAUGCUGCUCUAAAUGGGAGGUAAAUUUCUUCUAAAGCUAAAUAUUGGCCAGAGACCGAUAGCGCACAAGUAGAGUGAUCGAAAGAUGAAAAGCACUUUGAAAAGAGGGUUAAAUAGCACGUGAAAUUGUUGAAAGGGAAGGAUUUGUGACCAGACUUUUUCUGGGCGGAUCAUCCGGGGUUCUCUCCGGUGCACUUCGCCCAGUAAAGGCCAGCAUCGGUUUUCGGCGUGGGAUAAAAGCAGUAGGAAUGUGGCUCUCUACGGGGAGUGUUAUAGCCUAUUGUAUAAUACCGCGCUGGGGACCGAGGUUCGCGCU
RNAcentral lists this ribosomal RNA (1065 nucleotides) under uncultured fungus. Its description in RNAcentral is "eukaryotic LSU rRNA". The stretch from base 475 to 1065 matches the Rfam family "Eukaryotic large subunit ribosomal RNA", at positions 1 to 601 of the family's 3401-position model. Lineage: Eukaryota; Fungi. The record is from RNAcentral.